UUGAGAAAAAAAAAAAAUUAACAAGGUUUCCGUAGGUGAACCUGCGGAAGGAUCAUUACUGUGAUUUAGUACUACACUGCGUGAGCGGAACGAAAACAACAACACCUAAAAUGUGGAAUAUAGCAUAUAGUCGACAAGAGAAAUCUACGAAAAACAAACAAAACUUUCAACAACGGAUCUCUUGGUUCUCGCAUCGAUGAAGAGCGCAGCGAAAUGCGAUACCUAGUGUGAAUUGCAGCCAUCGUGAAUCAUCGAGUUCUUGAACGCACAUUGCGCCCCUCGGCAUUCCGGGGGGCAUGCCUGUUUGAGCGUCGUUUCCAUCUUGCGCGUGCGCAGAGUUGGGGGAGCGGAGCGGACGACGUGUAAAGAGCGUCGGAGCUGCGACUCGCCUGAAAGGGAGCGAAGCUGGCCGAGCGAACUAGACUUUUUUUCAGGGACGCUUGGCGGCCGAGAGCGAGUGUUGCGAGACAACAAAAAGCUCGACCUCAAAUCAGGUAGAAUCCCAUCCC
RNAcentral lists this ribosomal RNA (509 nucleotides) under Pichia kudriavzevii. RNAcentral describes it as "eukaryotic LSU rRNA". The stretch from base 162 to 314 matches the Rfam family "5.8S ribosomal RNA". The record is from RNAcentral. Lineage: Eukaryota; Fungi; Ascomycota; Pichiomycetes; Pichiales; Pichiaceae.